This is a non-coding RNA of Pimephales promelas (fathead minnow), 379 nucleotides long. The record is from RefSeq and is a predicted model, not a curated record. Lineage: Eukaryota; Metazoa; Chordata; Actinopteri; Cypriniformes; Leuciscidae.
GUGAUUCCUGCUGAAAUCAAUUAGCUAAGUGAAUUUACAAGGUCUGCAGUCACUAGAAUGAGGGAACUACGGAGAAUCAUAAUAAUGUCUGUUUGAAGGAGCGGGCUUGUUUUUUGGCCCCUGACAACGCAAUUACAGCCCCGCCGAUUGUCGUGUGUGUGCAUUAAGUACCUCCCCCAGAACGAGGCCGAUUAAUGAAGGGGCUCCUCAGGGGCCGAAGAAGAAGCCCCAGGCACCCACACACAGGAGAGGAACUGUUGUUAGGGGUCAGGCUGAUACACAUGCUCCAAAUGAAUGCAGCUUGACAUCGUCCUUCCCAAUUCAUUUCUGCUGCUUGGAAAAGAGAAGCAAUAACAUUUUGCUAAACUUCUUGCAUGCU